GACGAACCGUGCGAACGUUGUUCGGAAUCACUGGGCUUAAAGGGCGCGUAGGCGGCUGUUCAAGUCCGGGGUGAAAGCCCCCAGCUCAACUGGGGAAGUGCCUCGGAUACUGGAUGGCUCGAGGGAGGUAGGGGCAGGGGGAACUUCUGGUGGAGCGGUGAAAUGCGUUGAUAUCAGAAGGAACGCCGGUGGCGAAAGCGCCCUGCUGGAUCUCUACUGACGCUGAGGCGCGAAAGCCAGGGGAGCGAACAGG
RNAcentral lists this ribosomal RNA (253 nucleotides) under uncultured bacterium. Its description in RNAcentral is "partial 16S ribosomal RNA". It matches the Rfam family "Bacterial small subunit ribosomal RNA", at positions 524 to 776 of the family's 1533-position model. The record is from RNAcentral.